GACCCUGCUGGACUGGCGAGCCCCUGCCCCAGGAGCCCAGCACCCGCCCUGCAGGAGAAAGCCAGGCCAAGCAGUGACCACGUUGUCACAGGGGCUCGGCUAGUCCCCAAGCACAGAUUGGAAUAUUUGAAGGAACUGACCUCCGAGGCACGUGGUCCCCAGUUCGUCCUUGAGGCUGCUUCUCUUUGGUUCCACUGGUUGAUUUAAUCAAAAGCUCCUGGCAGAGACGGAACGUGUGCCCAGCGCGCGUCCUGGCUCCUGGCCUCCACACGGGAUUGGCGUCACGUCUCCUCUUCGCUCCUGCCGGACCGGCCGGCACACAUCCCACCUGCCACAGGCCCACUCGCCCUCCCCGCGGGUCGCCUGUGCGUGUGCAUGCGUUGUGCCCAGCAUUUUCAGCCAGUUUCCGGUUUUCCUUUGACUUCCUCUGGCUUGCGGGUUGUUAGGUUUGCAUCUAAUUUUCAAACAGGCAGGGAUUGUCCGGAAAGCUUUCUGUUCCUUCUUCGUAGCGAAGUCCCAGUGCACUCAGAGAACAUGGCAUUUUCGUCACUUGAUGCUUCUUUAUUAGCCUCAUUAUUCAAAGUGGGAAACUCGGUGGCCGGGGGCCUGGCACAGGCCAGCGUACCCAGCCCAGGGCCAAGCCCCAGAGUGCGGCUCCCCUGAGGGCUGCCUGCUCCUCCCGGGGAGACGUUGGGCCCCUGCCCUCAGAGGGCCAGGGUGGCAGGCCACCACCCCCACUCCGCAGCCCCUGCUUGUGCCAGGACGUCCAACUGACUGCCAUGCGCCAGGAGGCAGCGAAGCCCGGAGCUGAGGACCGAGGCCUGACAGGAAGGGAGCGGUCGGGCCAGAGGCCAGGCGCCUCGGGAGGUAGGGCCAGGAGCGCGUCAGGCCCCCGUCCUGCCCGUCCUGCCCGUCCAGCCACAGCCCCUUCCUGCAGUUGUCGCCUCAACACGGAAGGCAGCACCUCAGUUCAACCGGUAUGGCCGCCCUGGUGAGGUGGCGGCCUGGGAAUUCCCAUGGCCCACGGGACUAGCGCCCUGUGGCCCACACCCUUCUGAAACACCUUUGGAGCAUGCUGUCACUGUCACGUCUGACCCAAUGGAGAGGGGUUGCCGAGUGGGGACACUCCCGGGACAGGAUGACGUGAGCUGGUGGGGUGGGGGCAGGAGCGGCGGGGGCCCACGGGCUCUUCCUGGCCACAGCGGCCUCAUGCUCUCUUCAGGCACCACGCUGCAGUCCCUGCGUGACUAAAGCGUGGGCCGGCCUGGCUGUGGGGGCGCCCAGCACCAGCGAGUCGGUGGAUGCCCUAGGGUCCCUGGCGGAGCUGUCCCCGCCCACACCCCAGAGGCAGGCCGGGUGGCGCUGGUUCACACAGGGCUGCUGAAGGCGCAAGUGCCACGCACGGAGCACCCAGCCGGAGGAGUCCCCAGGAGCCUGCAUCUGGGCCCGGCAGACCAGCCAGCGCAUCAGCCCCACGCAUCCCCUGGGAGGGACUUUGCUGGAACUUGCACUCCGCGGGGUGCCGGGGCUGGGCCUCCAGGGCUGGGGGCUCUCAGCAGCUUUCUUUGGAGAGCCACAACUUCCACUUCCCGGGGCCCCACCUCCGAGGGCUGCCCUGGCUGGGCCAAUCAGAAGGCGGCCGCGGGACUGUCCCACUGUGGGAGAACCAGCCGGCCUCUGCCUUUGCAGGGCUGAGCAGAGCCAUCAGGAAGUGCACAGGCCCUGUGGCUGGCACCUCCCUCUCUCCGGCCGGCUCACCUACUGCCUGGUGAAUCGGUGUCCAGCUGCGUGGGUGCCCCCUCCAGGACCCUGAGCUGCUGCCCUGAACGCCAGCCGCCGCUGCCGCCAUGUCGGACUACGAGAACGAGGAUGCGUGCUGGAGCACACUGGAGGGCUUCAGGGUGAAGCUCAUCUCGGUCAUCGACCCCUCGCGCAUCACUCCCUACCUGCGGCAGUGCAAAGUCCUGAACCCCGACGACGAGGAGCAGGUGCUCAGCGACCCCAACCUCGUCAUCCGCAAGCGGAAAGUGGGCGUACUCCUGGACAUCCUGCAGCGGACCGGCCACAAGGGCUAUGUGGCCUUCCUCGAGAGCCUGGAGCUCUACUAUCCGCAACUCUACAAGAAGGUCACGGGCAAGGAGCCCUCCCGCGUCUUCUCCAUGAUCAUCGACGCGUCCGGGGAGUCGGGCCUGACGCAGCUCCUGAUGAGCGAGGUCAUGAAGCUGCAGAAGAAGGUGCAGGACCUGACGGCGCUGCUGAGCUCCAAGGACGACUUCAUCAAGGAGCUGCGGGUCAAGGACAGCCUGCUGCGCAAGCACCAGGAGCGCGUGCAGAGGCUCAAGGAGGAGUGCGAGGCCUGCGGCCGCGAGCUCAAGCGCUACAAGGACGAGAACUACGACCUGGCCAUGCGCCUGGCCCGCCAGAGCGAGGACAGGGGCGCCGCGCUCAUGCGCAACCGCGACCUGCAGCUGGAGAUCGACCGGCUGAAGCACAGCCUGAUGAAGGCGGAGGACGACUGCAAGGUGGAGCGCAAGCACACGCUGAAGCUGCGGCACGCCAUGGAGCAGCGGCCCAGCCAGGAGCUGCUGUGGGAGCUGCAGCAGGAAAAGGCCCUGCUGCAGGCCCGGGUGCAGGAGCUGGAGGCCUCUGCCCAGGAGGGGAAGCUGGACAGGAGCAGCCCCUACAUCCAGGUGCUGGAGGAGGACUGGCGGCAGGCUCUGCGGGACCACCAGGAGCAGGCCAACACCAUCUUCGCCCUGCGCAAAGACCUGCGCCAGGGGGAGGCCCUGCGCGCCCGGUGCAUGGAGGAGAAGGAGAUGUUUGAGCUGCAGUGCCUGGCCCUGCGGAAGGACUCCAAGAUGUACAAGGACCGCAUCGAGGCCAUCCUGCAGCAGAUGGAGGAGGUCGCCGUCGAGCGGGACCAGGCCAUCGCGUCGCGGGAGGAGCUGCACGCCCGCUACGCCCAGAGCCUGCAGGACAAGGACGCACUUCGCAAGCGAGUGCGGGAGCUGGGCGGGAAGGCCGACGAGCUGCAGCUGCAGCUGUUCCAGCGCGAGGCCCAGCUGCUGGCCGCGGAGGGCCAGCUCAAGCGGCAGCAGCUGGAGAUGCUGGUCCUGAGCUCCGACCUGGAGGACAGCUCACCCAGGAACUCCCAGGAAGUGAGUGUGACCCGCGGGGUGGGUGGCUCUGCCAGACCACAGCCCCACACUCGUCCCUCGGAAGUUCCAGAAGCUCAGCGACCCUCUCUCCUCCCAUCCCUCGGCCAAGCGGAGGGCCGAGCCGCUGGCGCCCGCCGAGGCCUCUGUGUGCUCAGGGCAGGACGGGCCCGGCAGUGCCCACCCCCUGGCCCUGGUGGCCGGGCCUUCUUGCCGGCCCCGGCCUGGCUGAGCAGCAGAGGCCCCCGAGAAGCUUGUGGAGAGGGCGGCAGCGCAGCAGGCUGGAUCCAGUUCCCAGGGGGGCGGGGGUCUAACAGCUGCCCGUUUCUCUCCGGAAGCUGUCGCCCCCCCAGGACCUGGAGGAGGACACCCAGCUCUCAGACAAAGGAGGCCCGGCCGAAGGGGAGAGCCCAGAGCAGCCCUUUGUGGCCCUGCAGAAGGACCGGCUUUCACUGACCCCCAAUGUAAGGCAGCCCCUGGGGGGGCCCAGGUGUGGGCCUCAGUGAGGAGAGCUUCCUCACUCUGCACAGCUGGGGGGGUGAUUGAAAGGGUCUCUGCCCACCGGCUCGUGGGGUGCAGUGUUUGCAACAUGAAGCUGAGCCCCCUCCCUUGGACAAAGCAGCAGGCAGAGGGGCAGCCAGGACAGGGCUGUGCCCAGCCCUGGGGAGCCUAAUGGGAGGUCCACGCAGCCUUAACGGUGACUCCUGGCCUGGCCCCCACCCCCAUGUGCAGUCCUGCGGGGAGCACGCGAGCACUGGUCUAAGCCUGAGCCACCCCCUCCUCCAGGACUCAGGCCUGGGCGGCGGGGAGCCCCCCGAGAAAGAGCGGCGACGCCUCAAGGAGAGCUUUGAGAACUACCGCAGGAAGCGGGCGCUUCGGAAGAUGCAGCACGGCUCGAGACAGGGCGAGGUGGACUGGGAGAACACCACGGGCAGC
Molecule: RNA transcript, 4091 nt
Organism: Pteropus alecto (black flying fox)
Lineage: Eukaryota; Metazoa; Chordata; Mammalia; Chiroptera; Pteropodidae
Gene: CARD9
Gene name: caspase recruitment domain family member 9
Exons: 12
Source: RefSeq, a predicted model, not a curated record